GACGAACGCUGGCGGCGUGCCUAAUACAUGCAAGUCGAACGCAUUUUCUUUCACCGUAGCUUGCUACACCGAAAGAAAAUGAGUGGCGAACGGGUGAGUAACACGUGGGUAACCUGCCCAUCAGCGGGGGAUAACACUUGGAAACAGGUGCUAAUACCGCAUAAUUCCAUUUACCGCAUGGUAAAUGGAUGAAAGGCGCUUUUGCGUCACUGAUGGAUGGACCCGCGGUGCAUUAGCUAGUUGGUGGGGUAACGGCCUACCAAGGCUGCGAUGCAUAGCCGACCUGAGAGGGUGAUCGGCCACACUGGGACUGAGACACGGCCCAGACUCCUACGGGAGGCAGCAGUAGGGAAUCUUCGGCAAUGGACGCAAGUCUGACCGAGCAACGCCGCGUGAGUGAAGAAGGUUUUCGGAUCGUAAAACUCUGUUGUUAGAGAAGAACAAGGAUGAGAGCGGAAAGUUCAUCCCUUGACGGUAUCUAACCAGAAAGCCACGGCUAACUACGUG
This 507-nucleotide ribosomal RNA is filed under the name uncultured bacterium. RNAcentral describes it as "partial 16S ribosomal RNA". It matches the Rfam family "Bacterial small subunit ribosomal RNA", at positions 28 to 507 of the family's 1533-position model. The record is from RNAcentral.